UCCAGACUCCUACGGGAGGCAGCAGUGAGGAAUAUUGGUCAAUGGGCUUACGCCUGAACCAGCCAAGUCGCGUGAGGGAAGACUGCCCUAUGGGUUGUAAACCUCUUUUGUCAGGGAGCAAAGGCGUCCACGUGUGGACGAGAGGAGAGUACCUGAAGAAAAAGCAUCGGCUAACUCCGUGCCAGCAGCCGCGGUAAUACGGAGGAUGCGAGCGUUAUCCGGAUUUAUUGGGUUUAAAGGGAGCGUAGAUGGGUUGUUAAGUCAGUUGUGAAAGUUUGCGGCUCAACCGUAAAAUUGCAAUUGAUACUGGCAGCCUUGAGUACAGUUGAGGUAGGCGGAAUUCGUGGUGUAGCGGUGAAAUGCUUAGAUAUCACGAAGAACUCCGAUUGUGAAGGCAGCUUACUAAACUGCCACUGACAUUGAUGCUCGAAAGUGUGGGUAUCAAACAGGAUUAGAUACCCCUGUAGG
Molecule: ribosomal RNA, 468 nt
Filed under: uncultured bacterium
Lineage: Bacteria
Description: bacterial SSU rRNA
Rfam family: Bacterial small subunit ribosomal RNA
Source: RNAcentral